Non-coding RNA from Momordica charantia (bitter melon), 1491 nucleotides. The record is from RefSeq and is a predicted model, not a curated record. NCBI's taxonomy places the organism in Eukaryota, Viridiplantae, Streptophyta, Magnoliopsida, Cucurbitales, Cucurbitaceae.
UUGAAUGCAAGCUGUGAACAGGAGAACUGGUUGCUUUUUCUAAUUUUUAUGUAAUUGCUGUAAAUUGGCUUUCUUAAAGAGCACCAAGAAUGUAGGUUAGUAACUAAAAUGCCUGCUCUUGAUGAUUGGAUUAUGAGUUUCAAGAACUUUGUCUAUUGGGAAUUUCUUAAAGGAUGUGUUGAUGGGGGGAAGUUGACACAUUCUUUGUUUUUAUGCAAAAUAGGAAGGACCUGACGUAGGCAGGAUGAUUUAAGAGUCGUGGACUAUUAGACGAGCUUGAUUUUUUUCUAUAAUUAUUUUAUUGUUUUUUAUAAUUAUUUUGCUUUCAAAAUAGAAGACAUGUUAUUAAUCUUUAAUGAUAUUGAUAUUGUUGAAGAGUAUAGCGAUUGUUUUGAUAGUAUAUAAUGGGACUGGAUAUCCUUAAGCAAUAUGAGUAUAGUUGGGACAGUUGGAUUCUGACAAAUUCUUUGUGCUGCAGAUCCAAGUUGUAUGGACGCAGAAGCUAUAGCCCAUUAUAAGGUUUAAUGAACUUUGACAUCUUCCAAAUGAAAGGCUUCAAAUUUGUGGGGAAUGUCAAAAAAACCACGCAUCACAAUCCUCCCCAACUGAAUGGAAAUGUGAAUGGACUCUUCAGUUUAAAACAGGGAUUGUGUACUGGCUCCUAUUCUCAUGGGAUGGCUCUUUAGGCUAAGACUUAUCAUGUGAUAGUCAUAUCAAAGUUGCCUAAAUUCAACUAUGAUGACACACCUAAUAUUUCAAUGAGUGUGGUUAUUGUGUUUGUAACUAUUCUCAUUGAAUUGUUAUUUAACAGAUGUGUUGGCUUUCCUCCCUUCUUUUAGUGAGUGACCUUUGUCACUUUUUUCAUGUAGCCAAGAAUUAAAGUUGAGGGAUGCUUUUUAAGACUAUGGCAUCUUAACGAUCAUGGCAAGAAUGGAGAUCGAUCGAUCACCAUAGGACAACUCCCAAUAAUUUCCCAGUUACGAACGCGUGGAGUUAGGACAUCUGCAUUUUCCAAUCCUAAAAAGUAGAUGAAUAGGCAAAAGCUAGAGAUUGAUGAUCUCUACCUGGAAUUGAAUUUCAAUCAUUGAACUUUUUCAGAUGUCUGUUGAUAUGAGGAGUCAAUUUCAGGAUCCACCAGUAAUUCCCACCCCAGAAAGAGGUUAGUUCUGGAAUUACCGAUUUUGAAUCUCUACUCUUUUUAAGCAUAAGUCCUUUUUAGUUAGAGAGAAAAAAAUCUCAAUGUUAGACGUCUUCAAAAUCUUUGAAUCGAAAUACAUAUAGAUUUACAGAUGCACGUACUUAAUAUGGUAUACCUACACUGGCAACUACUUACUUUUCCUUUUGCCUUGAAAAGUAUGGCCACACAUUCCUUUUUUUUUUUUUUAGUUCUGGUGAGCCUAAUAAGUAAUGUCAAAAACCCUUAUGUCUCUUGGGUCCGGAUCUUGGGGUGGGCGCGGGUGUCCUCACCCUUUUAAAUAAGUUAUAAAUUCU